CUCAAAUUUGAAAUCUAAUGGCCUCAGGUCAUUCGAGUUGUAAUCUAUAGGAACGUUUUCCGUGCCGGCUCAUGUACAAGUCCCUUGGAACAGGGCGUCAUAGAGGGUGAGAAUCCCGUACUUGACAUGAACUACCGGUGCUCUGUGAUACGUCUCCAACGAGUCGAGUUGUUUGGGAAUGCAGCUCAAAAUGGGUGGUAAAUUCCAUCUAAAGCUAAAUAUUGGUGUGAGACCGAUAGCGAACAAGUACCGUGAGGGAAAGAUGAAAAGCACUUUGGAAAGAGAGUUAAAAAGUAUGUGAAAUUGUUGAAAGGGAAACGAUUGAAGUCAGUCAUGUCCUUCAGAUUCAGCUGGUUCUGCCGGUGUAUUUCUGUUGGAUGGGGUCAACAUCAGUUUUGGAUGCCGGAUAAAGGCAGGAGGAAGGUAGUACUCUCGGGUAAACUUAUAGCCUCCUGUUGCAUACGGUGACUGGGACUGAGGAACGCAGCUUGCCUUUAUGGCCGGGGUUCGCCCACGU
Molecule: ribosomal RNA, 517 nt
Filed under: Piskurozyma sp.
Lineage: Eukaryota; Fungi; Basidiomycota; Tremellomycetes; Filobasidiales; Piskurozymaceae
Description: partial large subunit ribosomal RNA
Rfam family: Eukaryotic large subunit ribosomal RNA
Source: RNAcentral